This 481-nucleotide ribosomal RNA is filed under the name uncultured bacterium. RNAcentral describes it as "partial 16S ribosomal RNA". It matches the Rfam family "Bacterial small subunit ribosomal RNA", at positions 28 to 523 of the family's 1533-position model. The record is from RNAcentral.
GACGAACGCUGGCGGCGUGCUUAACACAUGCGAGUCGAGCGGUAAGGCUCCUUCGGGAGUACACGAGCGGCGAACGGGUGAGUAACACGUGAGCAAUCUGCCCUUCACACGGGGAUAACCCUCGGAAACGAGAGCUAAUACCCGAUACGACCACUUCAGGCACCUGAUGGUGGUGGAAAGGUACGGCGGGGAAGGAUGAGCUCGCGGCGUAGCAGCUUGUUGGGGGGGUAACGGCCCACCAAGGCAACGACGGGUAGCCGGGCUGGGAGGGUGACCCGCCACACUGGGACUGAGACACGGCACAGACUCCUACGGGAGGCAGCAGUGGGGAAUAUUGGACAAUGGGCGAAAGCCUGAUCCAGCAACGCCGCGUGAGGGAUGACGGCCUUCGGGUUGUAAACCUCUUUCAGCAGGUACGAAGCGCAAGUGACGGUACCUGCAGAAGAAGCACCGGCCAACUACGUGCCAGCCGCCGCAGUAA